GCAAAGUAGCCACUAUUUUCUCCCUUUACAGCUCAGGACCCUGCUCAGAGUCCACAAUGCUACCCUCAGCUGGAUGCUGGCCAGAGCACAGCAAAAGGAUGCACUGUCAUGGCCUGAAGAAAAGAAAGUGAAUCAAUGAUGACGGAGGAGUUUGAAGAA
Molecule: long non-coding RNA, 159 nt
Filed under: Ictidomys tridecemlineatus (thirteen-lined ground squirrel)
Lineage: Eukaryota; Metazoa; Chordata; Mammalia; Rodentia; Sciuridae
Description: lncRNA (ENSSTOG00000030264.1)
Source: RNAcentral